RNAcentral lists this long non-coding RNA (1091 nucleotides) under Bos indicus x Bos taurus (hybrid cattle). RNAcentral describes it as "lncRNA (ENSBIXG00000019634.1)". Lineage: Eukaryota; Metazoa; Chordata; Mammalia; Artiodactyla; Bovidae. The record is from RNAcentral.
GUGGAGUCAGAGGUAGGCAGGGUAGAAGCGGGCUUUUUCUCCUUGGCCGGACUGGAUGGGCCAAGAAUUAGAGUGCAAAGCUAUAAAGAGCAUUUGAUCCAACCUUUCCAUUCUCCUCCUCUUUGCAGCCAAGAGAAGCAGAGACCAGCCAAGGCUGAAGAGCUCUCUUGUGCCCUGAAUCCUGGGGAGCAGGUUUCCUGUGCCAGGAUCCCCAGCGGUGGCACCAGCCUCCCAGCUUCACCCACCAAAAGGGACACCAGCCUUGUCCGCCAGUGCCUGGGGCCACUGCUGGGUCCUGGCACCACAGAAGGUUUGAGCAGGGCCUUCCACCACUGCUCAUGCUGGCCCCGUGGCCGUCCAGCCUUCCAAACCCCGUUUCUGUGCUCUGACUUUGAAAUAUUGACUGCACUCCCUGCUGGCUCCCCCGUUUGUCGGUUGGGCUUUUGUUCAGGCGCAGCCUCCUGGAGGCAGCCUGGGGUCACCUUCACAUCCUGCCAGCCCCCACCAGAGGGGCUCCUGGCCAUGGAGAAAGGCAGGGAAGAAAGGGAAGACCCUGGGGACACCCCAAUCGAUGGGAGUUUUUCUUCCAGCGCAGCGGCAGCCCAGCAGUGCUCAGUGUCCAGGUUGCCUGUAUACAGCUCUGGCUCUGCUCAUGGAGAAGGGGGGCUGGACCCUGCAGAGGAACCGGGCCAUCGUCAAGAGUCUGGGCGGGGCUCCCAGUGCCACAGAAGUUCAACGCAGGCCAAGCUGGAGUGGGUAACGGCCCAGGCCAGGGGUCUGAAGGCUGGGCGUGCAGCUUCUGGAUAAAGUCUGCUCUGGAGUCAGGCAGGCCUAGGCUAGAGCCCUGGGCGAGCUACUCCACCCGAGUCUCAGAUACCACAUCUGUUGUUGUUUAGUCGCUCAGUCGUGUCUGACUCCUGGCGACCCCAUGGACUGCAGCACGCCAGGCCUCCCUGUCCUUCACCAUCUUCCGGAGUUUGCUCAAACUCAUGUCCGUUGAGUGGCUGAUGCCAUCCAGCCAUCUCAUUCUCGGUCGCCCCCUCCUCCUCCUGUCUUGAAUCUUUCCCAGCAUCAGGGCCCGUUGUUUACCG